GGCAAACUUCAUGUGCUGAUGUGU
RNAcentral lists this non-coding RNA (24 nucleotides) under Arabidopsis thaliana (thale cress). The record is from RNAcentral. Lineage: Eukaryota; Viridiplantae; Streptophyta; Magnoliopsida; Brassicales; Brassicaceae.